ACAUAUAUACAAACAUGAAAAGAGGGGUUUCACAUGAAAAGGGAAGAGGUUCCAGCCUAAUUUUCAGAAAUGUUUACUUGAAUAAAACAAACUGAUCAUGAUAAAGUAUAAUGCCCAAUUAUUAACAUUUAAAUCUAACACUAGCAUUGUUGUCCCUUAAAGGUUAUAUACAUGUACUACACAAUGUACAUGUUGAAGGUGUUUUUAGUAUAUAGCUGAACUAUCAAAUGGAAAAGUAAGUUUUUAAUUUCCCGCCUUGACAUUUUCAUUGACAAAUAAGUUUCUAGCCUUCAUUAUAUUUAAAUAAAAUAUAUGUAUAAUCUCUUUCAACUGACUGAGACUAAUGCCUACUUAGGUAUUAGUGCCAGCUUUCAACAAGAGCACAUUUGUAUAAUACAUUUUUUGUAGAUCUGAUCAUGAAACACUGGAACUUAUUUACACACAUACACAUUAUGACAUAUAGACCUACUUGUUUAAUCAAACUUGCAUUUUAAUAAUUUCAAAUCAAAAUCUUUUUGAACUAAAAUCAUAUUCACUAGGAUCUAAAUCAACCUGUUUAUUUGCCAGAAAAGAUCUGAAAUUGUGUAAUAUAACCCCAAAGUCCUUUGGAUUUCUUAAAAGCAGUUGGACAUGUCUCCCAUGACAAGGACAUUUCAUACUUAUGCUUAAAAUUUCUUUGAAGAACAAUUACAUGAGUUCAUAUCUAAACCCAAUACAGAUGAAUUUAACUUUGAUAUCUUUGUUCAGACUGGAAACUCUUCUAAUCCUGUGUUGUAACAAUAUAGACCCUCGGUCCAUAAAUACUUUCAAAUAAGACUUGGGAUCAGUAGAUUGCAUAAAUUUAUCAACAGGUCUACAAAGAUAUUUAACAUUAUUUGGAUAAUUCCUCUUUUAAAAAUAUAUUGCCAAAGGGUCUUAUAAAAACCAUUAUAAUUAAAUCCAAAUCCUUACAUUUUUAAAUAAAUAAGAACUACACUAUUUAGUAGUUCAGAUCUGUAUUAAGGUUAAUGAUUAAAAUAAACCUAUAAAAGCCCCUUGGGUUAAGACCAUUAUAAAAUAAAUUCGAACAAUUAUGAAUUUACCUUUAAAAUGGCAGAAGAGAUACAUGCUCCUAAAUUUAUGUUCAACCCUCAUUAUAAGGUGUGCUUAAGUAUGGCAGAAGACAUUAACAUUAGAAGAUGAGAAAGAAAAGUAUGACCCGAAAAUAAACGCUGUAUAUGGAUUUUGCGAGGAAAUAAGAUUAAGGAAACGAUGAAUGACUACGAUUCUCUAGUGUUCCCCGACAUAUUUUCCCCUAGAAUUUCAUUCCCGACGGAAUAAACACACUUGUGAGAAGAAGGAUUACACUAGAGCAUUUCAUGCCAGUGCAUGUACCGGAAGUUUUACACACCAAAAUGAAAGUACGACUACGACCAUAAGAAUUAGGAAGUGAUAAAGGAUAAUGAAUAGAUAUAUAUAUAUACCAUAAUAAAUAUUAUUAACAGUUA
Long non-coding RNA from Mytilus californianus (California mussel), 1487 nucleotides. RefSeq lists it as uncharacterized. The transcript is spliced from 2 exons. The record is from RefSeq and is a predicted model, not a curated record. NCBI's taxonomy places the organism in Eukaryota, Metazoa, Mollusca, Bivalvia, Mytilida, Mytilidae.